RNAcentral lists this ribosomal RNA (669 nucleotides) under uncultured bacterium. Its description in RNAcentral is "bacterial SSU rRNA". It matches the Rfam family "Bacterial small subunit ribosomal RNA", at positions 8 to 694 of the family's 1533-position model. The record is from RNAcentral.
AGAGUUUGAUCCUGGCUCAGGACGAACGCUGGCGGCGUGCUUAACACAUGCAAGUCGAACGGAAAGGCCCUUCGGGGUACUCGAGUGGCGAACGGGUGAGUAACACGUGGGUGAUCUGCCCUGCACUUUGGGAUAAGCCUGGGAAACUGGGUCUAAUACCGAAUAUGACCAUGCGCCUCCUGGUGUGUGGUGGAAAGCUUUUGCGGUGUGGGAUGGGCCCGCGGCCUAUCAGCUUGUUGGUGGGGUAAUGGCCUACCAAGGCGACGACGGGUAGCCGGCCUGAGAGGGUGACCGGCCACACUGGGACUGAGAUACGGCCCAGACUCCUACGGGAGGCAGCAGUGGGGAAUAUUGCACAAUGGGCGCAAGCCUGAUGCAGCGACGCCGCGUGAGGGAUGACGGCCUUCGGGUUGUAAACCUCUUUCAGCACAGACGAAGCGCAAGUGACGGUAUGUGCAGAAGAAGGACCGGCCAACUACGUGCCAGCAGCCGCGGUAAUACGUAGGGUCCGAGCGUUGUCCGGAAUUACUGGGCGUAAAGAGCUCGUAGGUGGUUUGUCGCGUUGUUCGUGAAAUCUCACGGCUUAACUGUGAGCGUGCGGGCGAUACGGGCAGACUUGAGUACUGCAGGGGAGACUGGAAUUCCUGGUGUAGCGGUGAAAUGCGUAGA